CGGAAAGACCCCGUGACCUUUACUACAGCUUGGUAUUGGUGUUCGGUGUGGCUUGUGUAGGAUAGGUGGGAGACUAUGAAGCGGGCACGCCAGUGUUCGUGGAGUCGUUGUUGAAAUACCACUCUGGUCACUCUGGAUGUCUAACUACGAACCGUAAUCCGGUUCUGGGACAGUGCCUGGUGGGUAGUUUAACUGGGGCGGUUGCCUCCCAAAGAGUAACGGAGGCGCCCAAAGGUUCCCUCAACCUGGUUGGCAAUCAGGUGUCGAGUGUAAGUGCACAAGGGAGCUUGACUGUGAGAGUGACGGCUCGAGCAGGGACGAAAGUCGGGACUAGUGAUCCGGCAGUGGCUUGUGGAAGCGCUGUCGCUCAACGGAUAAAAGGUACCUCGGGGAUAACAGGCUGAUCUUGCCCAAGAGUCCAUAUCGACGGCAUGGUUUGGCACCUCGAUGUCGGCUCGUCGCAUCCUGGGGCUGGAGUAGGUCCCAAGGGUUGGGCUGUUCGCCCAUUAAAGCGGUACGCGAGCUGGGUUUAGAACGUCGUGAGACAGUUCGGUCCCUAUCCGCUGCGCGCGUAGGAAAUUUGAGAAGAUCUGUCCCUAGUACGAGAGGACCGGGACGGACGAACCUCUGGUGUGUCAGUUGUUCUGCCAAGAGCACCGCUGAUUAGCUACGUUCGGAACGGAUAACCGCUGAAAGCAUCUAAGCGGGAAGCCGGCUUCAAGAUGAGAUUUCCAUCCCUUCGGGGGAGAGGCUCCCAGCUAGACUACUGGGUUGAUAGGCCGGAUGUGGAAGUGGGGACUAAAGACCCAUGGAGCUGACCGGUACUAAUAAGCCGAUAACUUGACAACACA
Molecule: ribosomal RNA, 851 nt
Filed under: Microbacteriaceae bacterium
Lineage: Bacteria; Bacillati; Actinomycetota; Actinomycetes; Micrococcales; Microbacteriaceae
Description: partial 23S ribosomal RNA
Rfam family: Bacterial large subunit ribosomal RNA
Source: RNAcentral